Molecule: long non-coding RNA, 162 nt
Organism: Etheostoma spectabile (orangethroat darter)
Lineage: Eukaryota; Metazoa; Chordata; Actinopteri; Perciformes; Percidae
Exons: 3
Source: RefSeq, a predicted model, not a curated record
CUUUUGCAAUAACAAAAAUUGGAUUUGUGAAUGUUUUAUACAUUUUCCCCUAAACUUCCACGCCACAAGUUACAUAUGGCAGUAUGAAAGAUUGAUAUAAUAAAAGUAAUUAAUUUGUAUUAAGAACGUCUUUGGUUUUGUUCAGAAUUGCUAUGGACUUUA